This 381-nucleotide ribosomal RNA is filed under the name uncultured Ehrlichia sp. RNAcentral describes it as "bacterial SSU rRNA". It matches the Rfam family "Bacterial small subunit ribosomal RNA", at positions 62 to 455 of the family's 1533-position model. Lineage: Bacteria; Pseudomonadati; Pseudomonadota; Alphaproteobacteria; Rickettsiales; Anaplasmataceae. The record is from RNAcentral.
UCCAAUUAUUUAUAGCCUCUGGCUAUAGGAAAUUGUUAGUGGCAGACGGGUGAGUAAUGCGUAGGAAUCUACCUAGUAGUACGGAAUAGCCAUUAGAAAUGGUGGGUAAUACUGUAUAAUCCCCGAGGGGGAAAGAUUUAUCGCUAUUAGAUGAGCCUACGUUAGAUUAGCUAGUUGGUGAGGUAAUGGCUUACCAAGGCUAUGAUCUAUAGCUGGUCUGAGAGGACGAUCAGCCACACUGGAACUGAGAUACGGUCCAGACUCCUACGGGAGGCAGCAGUGGGGAAUAUUGGACAAUGGGCGAAAGCCUGAUCCAGCUAUGCCGCGUGAGUGAAGAAGGCCUUCGGGUUGUAAAACUCUUUCAAUAGGGAAGAUAAUGAC